This 253-nucleotide ribosomal RNA is filed under the name Anaerobutyricum hallii. Its description in RNAcentral is "partial 16S ribosomal RNA". It matches the Rfam family "Bacterial small subunit ribosomal RNA", at positions 524 to 776 of the family's 1533-position model. The record is from RNAcentral. Lineage: Bacteria; Bacillati; Bacillota; Clostridia; Lachnospirales; Lachnospiraceae.
UACGUAUGGAGCAAGCGUUAUCCGGAUUUACUGGGUGUAAAGGGUGCGUAGGUGGCAGUGCAAGUCAGAUGUGAAAGGCCGGAGCUCAACCCCGGAGCUGCAUUUGAAACUGCAUAGCUAGAGUACAGGAGAGGCAGGCGGAAUUCCUAGUGUAGCGGUGAAAUGCGUAGAUAUUAGGAGGAACACCAGUGGCGAAGGCGGCCUGCUGGACUGUUACUGACACUGAGGCACGAAAGCGUGGGGAGCAAACAGG